GACGUAGGGUGCGAGCGUUGUCCGGAUUCAUUGGGCGUAAAGAGCUCGUAGGCGGCUCAGUAAGUCGGGUGUGAAACCCUCAGGCUCAACCUGGGGACGCCACUCGAUACUGCUGUGGCUAGAGUCCAGUAGAGGAGUGUGGAAUUCCCGGUGUAGCGGUGAAAUGCGCAGAUAUCGGGAGGAACACCAACGGCGAAGGCAGCACUCUGGGCUGGAACUGACGCUGAGGAGCGAAAGCGUGGGUAGCAAACAGG
RNAcentral lists this ribosomal RNA (254 nucleotides) under uncultured bacterium. RNAcentral describes it as "partial 16S ribosomal RNA". It matches the Rfam family "Bacterial small subunit ribosomal RNA", at positions 524 to 776 of the family's 1533-position model. The record is from RNAcentral.